GACAGAGGAGGCAAGCGUUGUUCGGAAUUACUGGGCUUAAAGCGCACGUAGGCGGCUCGGAAAGUGUCCUGUGAAAUCCCGUCGCUCAACGAUGGAACCGCGGGGCAAACUGCCGGGCUUGAGGUCGGUAGAGGUGCCUGGAACUCUAGGUGGAGCGGUGAAAUGCGUAGAUAUCUAGAGGAACGCCGGAAGCGAAAGCGGGGCACUGGGCCGAUUCUGACGCUGAGGUGCGAAAGCGUGGGGAGCAAACAGG
Molecule: ribosomal RNA, 253 nt
Filed under: uncultured bacterium
Lineage: Bacteria
Description: partial 16S ribosomal RNA
Rfam family: Bacterial small subunit ribosomal RNA
Source: RNAcentral